AAAUGGAGUCAGGUAUGAAUGGGAAAACCGGGUUUAGCUGUCUCUUGGUUACUAUUUCGAAUUUACUGUUUAAGUGAAAAAGCUUAAGAAAUGAAAAGGGACGAGAAGACCCUUAGAAUUUUUUCUAAAGUGUAAUUUUGACAUAAGGAUUUUGUUGGGGCGACAAAGAAAUAUAUAAAAACUUUCUUUAAAAAACAUGCCGAUUAUAUUAAGUAAGAAUAAAUUACCUGAGGGAUAACAGCAUAAUUCAAUAGAUGAGUUUGUGACCUCGAUGUUGGACUAGGAAACUAGCAAAUUAGCCGUUUGUUGUGUGGGUUCUGUUCGAACUUUAAUUCCU
This 337-nucleotide ribosomal RNA is filed under the name Antiopella barbarensis. Its description in RNAcentral is "Janolus barbarensis partial large subunit ribosomal RNA". Lineage: Eukaryota; Metazoa; Mollusca; Gastropoda; Nudibranchia; Janolidae. The record is from RNAcentral.